This 460-nucleotide ribosomal RNA is filed under the name uncultured bacterium. RNAcentral describes it as "partial 16S ribosomal RNA". It matches the Rfam family "Bacterial small subunit ribosomal RNA", at positions 338 to 795 of the family's 1533-position model. The record is from RNAcentral.
CCUACGGGAGGCAGCAGUGAGGAAUAUUGGUCAAUGGCCGGAAGGCUGAACCAGCCAAGCCGCGUGAAGGACGAAGGUGCCAAGCAUUGUAAACUUCUUUUGUCAAGGGACAAAAUCAGGCUCGAGAGCCUGACCGAGGGUACUUGAAGAAAAAGCAUCGGCUAACUCCGUGCCAGCAGCCGCGGUAAUACGGAGGAUCCGAGCGUUAUCCGGAUUUAUUGGGUUGAAAGGGAGCGUAGGUGGAUUGUUAAGUCAGUUGUGAAAGUUUGCGGCUCAACCGUAAAAUUGCAGUUGAAACUGGCAGUCUUGAGUACAGUAGAGGUGGGCGGAAUUCGUGGUGUAGCGGUGAAAUGCUUAGAUAUCACGAAGAACUCCGAUUGCGAAGGCAGCUCACUGGACUGCAACUGACGUUGAGGCUCGAAAGCGUGGGGAGCAAACAGGAUUAGAUACCCUGGUAGUC